Molecule: ribosomal RNA, 466 nt
Filed under: uncultured bacterium
Lineage: Bacteria
Description: partial 16S ribosomal RNA
Rfam family: Bacterial small subunit ribosomal RNA
Source: RNAcentral
GACGAACGCUGGCGGCGUGCUUAACACAUGCAAGUCGAACGGUAAGGCUCCAGCUUGCUGGGGUACACGAGUGGCGAACGGGUGAGUAACACGUGGGUGACCUGCCCUGCACUUCGGGAUAAGCCUGGGAAACUGGGUCUAAUACCGGAUAGGACCAUGGUGUGGAUACUGUGGUGGAAAGUUUUUUCGGUGUGGGAUGGGCCCGCGGCCUAUCAGCUUGUUGGUGGGGUAAUGGCCUACCAAGGCGGCGACGGGUAGCCGGCCUGAGAGGGUGGACGGCUACAUUGGGACUGAGACACGGCCCAGACUCCUACGGGAGGCAGCAGUGGGGAAUAUUGCACAAUGGGCGGAAGCCUGAUGCAGCGACGCCGCGUGGGGGAUGACGGCCUUCGGGUUGUAAACUCCUUUCACCAUCGACGAAGGGUUUCUGACGGUAGAUGGAGAAGAAGCACCGGCUAACUACGUG